This is a long non-coding RNA of Empidonax traillii (willow flycatcher), 1913 nucleotides long. RefSeq lists it as uncharacterized. The record is from RefSeq and is a predicted model, not a curated record. The transcript has 3 exons. NCBI's taxonomy places the organism in Eukaryota, Metazoa, Chordata, Aves, Passeriformes, Tyrannidae.
GAGAAAGAGAAGUAAGAAUGCUCAGCUCUGGAAAAAGAAACUCUCAGAUAUAAUGAACUGAAAUAAACUACAAGAAAAACACAGGGAGAAAGGCGACCAAACUAUCAAUGAAGCUAUCAGUGAAGCUGCCCAAGAGAAAAGGGCUCUCCAGUACUGAAGAAUAACUUAGCUUGUGAGGUAAAAAACCCUCUAGAAUAUCUUGAGGAGAGCCUGAGAGAGUUGAGACAUGUCUAGUAGAUAUCACUAAGGCAAAAAGACCUGUCACCCAAAGGGAAAGUGGAUAUGAGGACUAAUCUUCAAAGACUGAAUUUGAUAUUUUAACAAUGUAUUGUAUGUUUUCUGAGCAUCUGCUGAGGCCACAUAUCCUAAGCAAUACUCAGGACUGCUAAUCUAAAGAAUGGAUUUCCCUGGUGCGCUGGUGGAGGAGCACAACAUGCAAAAUGAAGAAAAUUGCUUGUCUGAAACACUGACCAGUUCAGCUAUUCAUUCUCCAGUCCUGGAAGGCAAGGAUGAACUGCUGAUCACACUGUCCUGACACAGCACAGACACCAGAUCUGUUGCAGUCCUGGAAACCCAGGACAAUGCUGGUGUUAAUACCUGCCUCUGUCCGAGCCAGCUGGACUGCAGCCAAGCCUGCUGGGCAGGAUGCUGGAGCAGAGGAAAUAUAAGGGGAACCUUUCCCUGGGGUGACUGUGAGGUAACACUUCUGUAGGCAGCACUGCAGGCAAGCAGAGUGCUCAGAUUUGCAUGCUGGGUUCUAAAGCACAGACACUUGUGCAGCAGCACGUAUUUGUGAUAGCCUUAUUUGUGCAAAGUAAAGAUGGUUCCACCUCUGCUUUCAGUUAUGGCUGCAUGAAUAAGUUAUUGGGCAGUUCUGCACAUGAUGAAUUAUGUGAAGCUUUUACACUGGCUGAAUGGCCUCCCAACAGCAGGCUCCUGUUUUUAUUUAAUAGACCUCAAAACAGUUUCCUGCUCAGGUUUCCUGAGGUGAGUUCCUGAUAACUGCAGCACACUGCAGUCAUGUUAUCGCUUCACAUUUCAAGGCCUUUGACAUUUCAGUCUACCCAGCAGUGGUUCAUCAGUAGAAUGUACUUAUGUAUUCAUACUGCAUCUACUUGUUAUCAAUUCUAAUUGCAGUAAUGCUCUUGGUCCAUUAUCAGAACAGCUUACUCAUGGCAUUUGGUUCUUUCCAGGUUACAGGGCUCUUCUGCAGGAGCAGAAGCUCCUUACAGGCAGAGCUGAGAGCUGGGGUGGAAACUGCUCCAGCUGCCUUAUUUGUGAGUCAUCCUUGUGAGGACAUUAGAAACUGCAUUGAUUCUUCUAUGGAGUUUAAUAAGAUUCUAAUGACUCCAAAAGAGUGAUUUGUUUGUAUAUAUUCCUUAUUGGGGUUAUUGGGCCAAAAGAUAAUAGGGACACAGAUAAAAUCAUAAGGCUGGACAUUCAGGUGACGAACAUCAGUAUAGCAGUGGUAAAAUUCGUCUACUUAUUGCAAAAGUAGAAAAAAAACCUUUCUAAUGACAUAUGUUUUCUGUUAUUCUAAGAUAAAUUUACUGCUGGCUAUUCAUUCUGUAUGAAAUUAUAUUUUUUGUACAAUAAUACAAAGAAAUUAAAUUACUAACUUUAGCCUCUUUUAUACAUUUGUUUCUACCAUAUUGUUUGAGACAAGGAGUCAGUCUGAGGCAACACACUGCUCAGUUUGAUUUCAUAUGCUAUGGGUGUAGUUUAUUCUUUCUGUUCUAUGCAGAAAUAAUUAUCUGGCUAAUGAAAAAGACACUGCUCACUGGGUGAACCACAACUAAAUGUUUCAAAAAUACUUUAGGAAAAUUCUUGCUCCCCCUGCAGUCAAAGGAAGAUUUUGCACUGAAUUUAAGAAGGAAAAAAGAUAUGCCUUUCUCCUGUGUAUGCUUUGAAAU